This 291-nucleotide ribosomal RNA is filed under the name uncultured bacterium. RNAcentral's name for it is "partial 16S ribosomal RNA". It matches the Rfam family "Archaeal small subunit ribosomal RNA", at positions 455 to 747 of the family's 1478-position model. The record is from RNAcentral.
GUGCCAGCAGCCGGUAAUACCGGCAGCCCAAGUGAUGGCCGAUCUUAUUGGGCCUAAAGCGUCCGUAGCUGGCCGCGCAAGUCCAGCGGAAAAUCCACCCGCCCAACGGGUGGGCGUCCGGUGGAAACUGCGUGGCUUGGGACCGGAAGGCGCGACGGGUACGUCGGGGGUAGGAGUGAAAUCCCGAGAUCCUCGACGGACCGCCGGUGGCGAAAGCGCCUCGGGAAGAUGGAUCCGACGGUCAGGGACGAAAGCUUGGGUCUCGAACCGGAUUAGAUACCCGAGUAGUCC